RNA transcript from Ziziphus jujuba (common jujube), 2697 nucleotides. RefSeq lists it as uncharacterized. The record is from RefSeq and is a predicted model, not a curated record. NCBI's taxonomy places the organism in Eukaryota, Viridiplantae, Streptophyta, Magnoliopsida, Rosales, Rhamnaceae. The transcript has 2 exons.
AGUCCAAUAGACAAAAUGGGUUAUGUUAGGGCCCGAGGUGGAAUGAUUGUUAAGGGGUGGGAAGGUGAAUAGGUUUAAUAGAAGCUGCCGGUGAUCGUUCCGGUUAUGGGGCAUAAGUUUUGCGGGGCCAAUGCCAAUGCAAGUGCAAGUGCUAGUGCUGUUUGAUAUCUAUUUCCUUCCUUUGAAUUUCUAACGAGGUAUUGAGGUAGGUAUACUAUUCCUCCAUUCUUCUCACCAUUUAUGCAAUGCUUAGUUCCAACUUCAAAUCUUUAGGGUUUCAGAAUUUCCUAGGAAUCUCAUCGUUCUCAACGCCGUCGUUUUCCGUGUUAGCUGAUUGUGUAAUUUUGUUUUCCCGUAAAUUUUUAUCAUUUUACUUAUCGAACGAAUUGAAAAUUUUGUUUAUUGCUGAUCACAAGAAUGUGAAGACGAAUAUGGUUCUUGCAUUUUUGAAAAAUAUAAAGAAACUCAGAAUCGCUGAAUAUUCGUUGGUUUUUGGUGUUUCACCAUUGCUCUGUCAUGAUUUUCGCUUGGUUGGAUUUUGGAUGAUUUUGGUUAGACUCCAAAAAUUGUUUAAAGGGUGAUCCAGCAUUUUGUCCGUAAUUUUGUUAGCUACAUAAGACAUUCAGGGAGCCUGACCUGACCUCUUGUGGUUGUUUCUGCUAUGCCCCUGAUUUCCAAAUCUUCUUAAUGGUUUCAAGAUUUCUUAUUCUUAGUAGUCAAUCAUAUUUUUUUUCCCCCUCUUCUCUUGUAUCUUUGUACGGCUCAUGUUGUAUGAAGCGUGCUUCUAUCACAUUACAAGAAAUGGAAGUUACUGUCUGUACUUCAACUUCUGCUCCGUAGUUUGAUACCAGGGGAUUUUUCUUUUCUUUUCUUUUUUCCUUCUCUAUUUUUGGUGCAAAGAUAGUGCAGAUGAUGGUUUACACUUGAUCUCUGAACUUCAGGUAAGUUCACUUGUUGACAGCUUUCUAACUGAUGCGCUAUUCUUUGCACUGUGGUCCAAACAUUUUGCUGUGCCCUAAUUUGUAGCAUUUGAACAGUACAGGGGUGUCCGGUGGUUGGUUCGAGUGGAUAAAAGGUUUAUUAUAAAUAAAAACCAAGAGAAGUGGAGAAAAAGAGUUGGUCUGAAAUGGGGUAGAUUUUGAAAGUCCUUAGUUUACAUUCAAAUCCUCAAGUCUGCCAUGUUGUUACUGUAGAGAAUUUUAGAAACUGAUUAUUUAUAGUUUUCUUUCUGGUGCUUUCUAUGUUAUUGAAUUCUGCUAUUCAAACUGAAGACAACCAACUUUAGCGUUCAGAUACUUCUCUUGCACACAUUUUUUAUUUGAUUCUGGAGUCAUAGUUAUGUUUUCAGUUCGUCCAAGUUGCAUUUAGCACUGCUGCUUUAUCUCUUACAUGUGCACAUUGGUAGAUAAUAGAGAUGGGCAACAAGUCAAAGAAGACUAAUGAUAAGAGGUGUAUGAUAAAAUGGACAGAACAAUGGGAUGAUUUUUUCAUUCAGGCACUUGUGCAUCAAUAGAGCAUGGGCAACAGGGUUGAUAAGGUUUUUACUACUGCAGCUUAUGAUCAUGUUGUGAAAGAAUUGCGGGAAAAGAUUGGUGAGCCAUUUGAAAAAUGUCAUUUGAAGAAUAGGCUGAAAACUCUCAAAACAUAAUUUUAGUGAAUAUUAUGACAUUUUCAAUGGAAUGAAUGAUUUUUUAUGAAGCCCAGAUACAAAAAUGUGGAGUGCACAGCUUGAGGUUUGGAAAGCUCUAAUCAAGGUUUUUGAUCUUGUUUAUUAUGGAACGUUUACUGAAUUUGGAUACAAAGUGAUCGUUUCUAUUUGUUUGCAUGUAAUGUGAUCACACUUGCUUUCUUUUCCUUGUGAGAUUCAUUUGUUUUCCAACAGCUAAAAUUUUGUCACAAUGCUUGGUAAGGCCUGAUGCAAGAAAAUGGAGGGCUACACCCAUUGCUAACUACAAUAAAUUGGUAUUGCUUUUUGGAAAAGAGAAAAGCGAUGGCGUUGCUGAUGCAGAAGGUGAGAUCCACGUGGGAAAUGGGGGCAACUUGAAUUGUAUUGAUCAUGUGCUGUCACAGAAUGAAGUCAUUCUUACUCUAGAAGACCUAAAUGGUAUGAAUGACGGUGAUCAGUCACCAACAUCUCUAGAAGCAAAUUCUCAAAUAGAUUCUCAGGCACCUUCUCUAUCUGCUACAUCAUUGAAAGGCAAGAAAAGAAAGGCUCCUAGAAAUUUUGAUUUUGAGAGAGAGUUUGCCAACAUAAGGGAAGCAAUUAAAAAUGUUGCUGUGGCAAUUAGGGAGGGAAAUGCUGUUGCAGAGAGAGGUCGACCUCAUGUUUACUCAGAGCAAGAAGUUUUUGCAGAACUGGUGAACAUAGGUGUUGAUUCGCAGAUACGGUAUAGGGCAUACACCUUUCUCAUUUCAAAUGCUGGAAGGGUGAGGGCGUUUUUUGGGUGCCCAACUGAUGAACGCAAGGAAUUUUUGCUUCAGAUGAUGUAUAGUCCCCAAGACUGUUGAUUUACUCACGUGGUUGCAUAUUGGUUUUUAGGCUUGUCUAUACUUUGAAAUUCUUAAUGAUUAGGGAAUUCCUCGUGUAAAUCUUGAUUAUGAAAUAUAGAGUUUGUUUACUCAAAAGGCAGUUUUUGAAACUUCUGAACGAAAUUCAGGAUAUAAAUAUUACAAGCUCGAUGAAAAUGGUCUGUCUUA